Molecule: microRNA precursor, 145 nt
Filed under: Glycine max (soybean)
Lineage: Eukaryota; Viridiplantae; Streptophyta; Magnoliopsida; Fabales; Fabaceae
Description: miR1515 stem-loop (gma-MIR1515a)
Rfam family: MIR1515 microRNA precursor family
Source: miRBase by way of RNAcentral
UAAAUGUUCAUCAUUUUGCGUGCAAUGAUCUGAACCAUUUUGAUUCCCUGCACCGUUAUUUCGUUGUGGCAUAAUCAAAUUAAGCCAUUGAUUUUAUGUUUGUGGAAAACGUUUCUGAUCACUCACGCAAAAUGAUGUCAAUUUU